RNAcentral lists this transfer RNA (73 nucleotides) under Ekhidna lutea. It matches the Rfam family "tRNA". Rfam says of the family: Transfer RNA (tRNA) molecules are approximately 80 nucleotides in length. Their secondary structure includes four short double-helical elements and three loops (D, anti-codon, and T loops). Further hydrogen bonds mediate the characteristic L-shaped molecular structure. tRNAs have two regions of fundamental functional importance: the anti-codon, which is responsible for specific mRNA codon recognition, and the 3' end, to which the tRNAs corresponding amino acid is attached (by aminoacyl-tRNA synthetases). tRNAs cope with the degeneracy of the genetic code in two manners: having more than one tRNA (with a specific anti-codon) for a particular amino acid; and 'wobble' base-pairing, i.e. permitting non-standard base-pairing at the 3rd anti-codon position. Lineage: Bacteria; Pseudomonadati; Bacteroidota; Cytophagia; Cytophagales; Reichenbachiellaceae. RNAcentral also lists the same sequence under 1 other name. The record is from Rfam by way of RNAcentral.
GACUGGCUAGCUCAGCUGGUAGAGCAACGCCCUUUUAAGGCGUGGGUCCUGGGUUCGAGCCCCAGGCCAGUCA